AGAGUUUGAUCUGGCUCAGAUUGAACGCUGGCGGCAUGCCUUACACAUGCAAGUCGAACGGCAGCACGGGGGCAACCCUGGUGGCGAGUGGCGAACGGGUGAGUAAUACAUCGGAACGUGUCCUGUAGUGGGGGAUAGCCCGGCGAAAGCCGGAUUAAUACCGCAUACGAUCUAUGGAUGAAAGCGGGGGAUCUUCGGACCUCGUGCUAUAGGGGCGGCCGAUGGCAGAUUAGCUAGUUGGUGGGGUAAAGGCCCACCAAGGCGACGAUCUGUAGCUGGUCUGAGAGGACGACCAGCCACACUGGGACUGAGACACGGCCCAGACUCCUACGGGAGGCAGCAGUGGGGAAUUUUGGACAAUAGGGGCAACCCUGAUCCAGCAAUGCCGCGUGUGUGAAGAAGGCCUUCGGGUUGUAAAGCACUUUUGUCCGGAAAGAAAUCCUAGAGGCUAAUAUCCUGUGGGGAUGACGGUACCGGAAGAAUAAGCACCGGCUAACUACGUGCCAGCAGCCGCGGUAAUACGUAGGGUGCGAGCGUUAAUCGGAAUUACUGGGCGUAAAGCGUGCGCAGGCGGUUCGCUAAGACCGAUGCGAAAUCCCCGGGCUUAACCUGGGAACUGCAUUGGUGACUGGCGGGCUAGAGUAUGGCAGAGGGGGGUAGAAUUCCACGUAGCAGUGAAAUGCGUAGAGAUGUGGAGGAAUACCGAUGGCGAAGGCAGCCCCCUGGGCCAAUACUGACGCUCAUGCACGAAAGCGUGGGGAGCAAACAGGAUUAGAUACCCCAGUAGUCC
Molecule: ribosomal RNA, 790 nt
Filed under: uncultured bacterium
Lineage: Bacteria
Description: bacterial SSU rRNA
Rfam family: Bacterial small subunit ribosomal RNA
Source: RNAcentral